CGGCCGCGGUAUCCUAACCGUGCAAAGGUAGCGUAAUCAUUUGUUCUUUAAAUAGGGACUAGUAUGAAUGGCCCCAUGAGGGUUUAACUGUCUCUUACAACUAAUCAAUGAACCUGAUCUUCCAGUACAAAAGCUGGAAUGACCACAUAAGACGAGAAGACCCUGUGGAGCUUUAAAUACAUAACAAAUACUUAUAAACGCCAUAGGGCACAUUAAGAGUAUUAAUUUUUACCACUUUAGGUUGGGGCGACCGUGGGGUACAACAUAACCCCCAUGAAUACACAAGUACAUCAAGUAGACAUACUACACGCACAAGUAAAUGACCCAGCAACGCUGAUUAACGAACCAAGUUACCCCAGGGAUAACAGCGCCAUCCCCUUAAAGAGUUCCUAUCGUCAAGGGGGUUUACGACCUCGAUGUUGGAUCAGGACAUCCUGGUAGGUGUAGCCGCUUCCAAGGGUUCGUUUGUUCAACGAUUAACAGUCCUACGUGAUCU
RNAcentral lists this ribosomal RNA (496 nucleotides) under Uroplatus lineatus. Its description in RNAcentral is "partial large subunit ribosomal RNA". It matches the Rfam family "Bacterial large subunit ribosomal RNA", at positions 1928 to 2606 of the family's 2925-position model. Lineage: Eukaryota; Metazoa; Chordata; Lepidosauria; Squamata; Gekkonidae. The record is from RNAcentral.